GAUGAACGCUGGCGGCGUGCCUAAUACAUGCAAGUCGAGCGAACAGACGAGGAGCUUGCUCCUCUGACGUUAGCGGCGGACGGGUGAGUAACACGUGGAUAACCUACCUAUAAGACUGGGAUAACUUCGGGAAACCGGAGCUAAUACCGGAUAAUAUAUUGAACCGCAUGGUUCAAUAGUGAAAGACGGUUUUGCUGUCACUUAUAGAUGGAUCCGCGCCGCAUUAGCUAGUUGGUAAGGUAACGGCUUACCAAGGCAACGAUGCGUAGCCGACCUGAGAGGGUGAUCGGCCACACGGGAACUGAGACACGGUCCAGACUCCUACGGGAGGCAGCAGUAGGGAAUCUUCCGCAAUGGGCGAAAGCCUGACGGAGCAACGCCGCGUGAGUGAUGAAGGUCUUCGGAUCGUAAAACUCUGUUAUUAGGGAAGAACAAAUGUGUAAGUAGCUAUGCACGUCUUGACGGUACCUAAUCAGAAAGCCACGGCUAACUACGUG
Molecule: ribosomal RNA, 497 nt
Filed under: uncultured bacterium
Lineage: Bacteria
Description: partial 16S ribosomal RNA
Rfam family: Bacterial small subunit ribosomal RNA
Source: RNAcentral